AAACCACCGGGGUUGCCCCCAGUACGGCGAGUGAGCGGCAAAAGCUCAAAUUUGAAAUCUGAGGCUCUCAGCCCCCGAGUUGUAAUUUGAAGAUAGUGCUCUGGCGCCGGCCCCCUGUCUACGUUCCUUGGAACAGGACAUCGCAGAGGGUGAGAAUCCCGUCUGGCGGGGCGGCCUGGCUCCGUGUAGAGCUCUAUCGACGAGUCGAGUUGUUUGGGAAUGCAGCUCUAAGUGGGUGGUAAAUUCCAUCUAAAGCUAAAUAUUGGCGAGAGACCGAUAGCGAACAAGUACAGUGAUGGAAAGAUGAAAAGAACUUUUUAAAGAGAGUGAAAAAGUACGUGAAAUUGUUGAAAGGGAAGGGUAUUGGAUCAGACUUGGUGCUGUGCGAAUAGCGGCCCUUCUUGGGCUGCCCACUCGCGCUCCACCGGGCCAGCAUCGGUUUGGGCGGCAAGACAAUGGCGGCGGAACGUGGCACUGCUCCCGGGCAGUGUGUUUAUAGCCCCCGCUGAUGUUGCCUGCCUAGACCGAGGACUGCGGCUUCUGCCUAGGAUGCUGGCGUAAUGAUCCAACACCGC
This 575-nucleotide ribosomal RNA is filed under the name Cyberlindnera sp. RW3-2. RNAcentral's name for it is "eukaryotic LSU rRNA". It matches the Rfam family "Eukaryotic large subunit ribosomal RNA", at positions 62 to 648 of the family's 3401-position model. Lineage: Eukaryota; Fungi; Ascomycota; Saccharomycetes; Phaffomycetales; Wickerhamomycetaceae. The record is from RNAcentral.